This 463-nucleotide ribosomal RNA is filed under the name uncultured bacterium. RNAcentral describes it as "partial 16S ribosomal RNA". It matches the Rfam family "Bacterial small subunit ribosomal RNA", at positions 28 to 507 of the family's 1533-position model. The record is from RNAcentral.
GACGAACGCUGGCGGCGUGCUUAACACAUGCAAGUCGAACGGAAAGGCCUUUUCGGAGGUACUCGAGUGGCGAACGGGUGAGUAACACGUGGGUGAUCUGCCCUGCACUCUGGGAUAAGCCUGGGAAACUGGGUCUAAUACCGGAUAGGACCGCACUUUAGUGUGUGUGGUGGAAAGUUUUUUCGGUGUAGGAUGAGCCCGCGGCCUAUCAGCUUGUUGGUGGGGUAAUGGCCUACCAAGGCGGCGACGGGUAGCCGGACUGAGAGGUUGGUCGGCCACAUUGGGACUGAGAGACGGCCCAGACGCCUACGGGAGGCAGCAGUGGGGAAUAUUGCACAAUGGGCGCAAGCCUGAUGCAGCGACGCCGCGUGGGGGAUGACGGCCUUCGGGUUGUAAACUCCUUUCGCCAGGGACGAAGCGUUUUGUGACGGUACCUGGAGAAGAAGCACCGGCUAACUACGUG